RNAcentral lists this ribosomal RNA (163 nucleotides) under uncultured Chlamydiales bacterium. Its description in RNAcentral is "partial 16S ribosomal RNA". It matches the Rfam family "Bacterial small subunit ribosomal RNA", at positions 347 to 504 of the family's 1533-position model. Lineage: Bacteria; Pseudomonadati; Chlamydiota; Chlamydiia; Chlamydiales. The record is from RNAcentral.
AGCUGCAGUCGAGAUCAUUCGCAAUGGGCGAAGCCUGACGAUGCGACGCCGUGUGUGUGAUGAAGGCCUUCGGGUCGUAAAGCACUUUCGCUUGGGAACAAGAAAGGCUGGAUAAUACCCAGCCAAUUUGAGGGUACCAGGUAAAGAAGCACCGGCUAACUCC